UCCAGACUCCUACGGGAGGCAGCAGUGGGGAAUAUUGGACAAUGGGCGAAAGCCUGAUCCAGCCAUGCCGCGUGUGUGAAGAAGGUCUUCGGAUUGUAAAGCACUUUAAGUUGGGAGGAAGGGCAGUAAAUUAAUACUUUGCUGUUUUGACGUUACCGACAGAAUAAGCACCGGCUAACUCUGUGCCAGCAGCCGCGGUAAUACAGAGGGUGCAAGCGUUAAUCGGAAUUACUGGGCGUAAAGCGCGCGUAGGUGGUUCGUUAAGUUGGAUGUGAAAUCCCCGGGCUCAACCUGGGAACUGCAUUCAAAACUGACGGGCUAGAGUAUGGUAGAGGGUGGUGGAAUUUCCUGUGUAGCGGUGAAAUGCGUAGAUAUAGGAAGGAACACCAGUGGCGAAGGCGGCUUACUGGACUGUAACUGACGUUGAGGCUCGAAAGCGUGGGGAGCAAACAGGAUUAGAUACCCGAGUA
This 470-nucleotide ribosomal RNA is filed under the name uncultured bacterium. Its description in RNAcentral is "bacterial SSU rRNA". It matches the Rfam family "Bacterial small subunit ribosomal RNA", at positions 330 to 792 of the family's 1533-position model. The record is from RNAcentral.